Pelobates cultripes (western spadefoot toad) is the source of this 297-nucleotide non-coding RNA. The record is from the annotation of a GenBank genome assembly. NCBI's taxonomy places the organism in Eukaryota, Metazoa, Chordata, Amphibia, Anura, Pelobatidae.
GUGUGAGUGCUGGAUGAUGGGUGUGUGAGUGCUGGAUGAUGGGUGUGUGUGCUGGAUGAUGGGUGUGUGUGUGCUGGAUGAUGGGUGUGUGGGUGCUGGAUGAUGGGUGUGUGUGUGUGCUGGAUGAUGGGUGUGUGUGUGCUGGAUGAUGGGUGUGUGUGUGCUGGAUGAUGUGUGUGUGCUGGAUGAUGUGUGUGUGAGUGCUGGAUGAUGGGUGUGUGUGUGUGCUGGAUGAUGGGUGUGUGAGUGCUGGAUGAUGGGUGUGUGUGUGAGUGCUGGAUGAUGUGUGUGUGUGUG